RNAcentral lists this small RNA (30 nucleotides) under Bombyx mori (domestic silkworm). RNAcentral's name for it is "ovarian small RNA-12030". Lineage: Eukaryota; Metazoa; Arthropoda; Insecta; Lepidoptera; Bombycidae. The record is from RNAcentral.
AGCACCACGAUGGGGCAGUAGCCCACGGGU